UACGUAGGGGGCUAGCGUUGUCCGGAAUCAUUGGGCGUAAAGAGCGCGUAGGCGGCCCUGUAAGUCCGCUGUGAAAGUCAAGGGCUCAACCCUUGGAUGCCGGUGGAUACUGCAGGGCUAGAGUCCGGAAGAGGCGAGUGGAAUUCCUGGUGUAGCGGUGAAAUGCGCAGAUAUCAGGAGGAACACCAAUUGCGAAGGCAGCUCGCUGGGACGUUACUGACGCUGAGACGCGAAAGCGUGGGGAGCAAACAGG
This 253-nucleotide ribosomal RNA is filed under the name uncultured bacterium. RNAcentral describes it as "partial 16S ribosomal RNA". It matches the Rfam family "Bacterial small subunit ribosomal RNA", at positions 524 to 776 of the family's 1533-position model. The record is from RNAcentral.